GACGAACGCUGGCGGCGUGCUUAACACAUGCAAGUCGAACGGAAAGGCCCUGCUUUUGUGGGGUGCUCGAGUGGCGAACGGGUGAGUAACACGUGAGUAACCUGCCCUUGACUUUGGGAUAACUUCAGGAAACUGGGGCUAAUACCGGAUAGGAGCUCCUGCUGCAUGGUGGGGGUUGGAAAGUUUCGGCGGUUGGGGAUGGACUCGCGGCUUAUCAGCUUGUUGGUGGGGUAGUGGCUUACCAAGGCUUUGACGGGUAGCCGGCCUGAGAGGGUGACCGGCCACAUUGGGACUGAGAUACGGCCCAGACUCCUACGGGAGGCAGCAGGGGGAAGUAUUGCACAAUGGGCGGAAGCCUGAUGCAGCAACGCCGCGUGCGGGAUGACGGCCUUCGGGUUGUAAACCGCUUUCGCCUGUGACGAAGCGUGAGUGACGGUAAUGGGUAAAGAAGCACCGGCUAACUACGUG
Molecule: ribosomal RNA, 468 nt
Filed under: uncultured bacterium
Lineage: Bacteria
Description: partial 16S ribosomal RNA
Rfam family: Bacterial small subunit ribosomal RNA
Source: RNAcentral